Molecule: long non-coding RNA, 652 nt
Organism: Saccostrea cuccullata (small rock oyster)
Lineage: Eukaryota; Metazoa; Mollusca; Bivalvia; Ostreida; Ostreidae
Exons: 3
Source: RefSeq, a predicted model, not a curated record
UGGCGACUAAGAAACACUUAAUGUCAACAAUAUUUUCUGAUUGACAAGAGAAAAGGUCAAACAGGAACUUCAAUUGUGAACAUUGCAGAGAACACACCCAUCAGAAGAUGACCCUCAGAAAUAGGACAAUUAAUGAAUAAAAUGGAUAGAGGCAGAACUGAAGGAGAUGCAUGAAAUGAGGAAUAUUUCAAAGAUUGCCUGAGCAUAAUCACUGCUACUGGAUAAACAUAUGGCAAUAUAAAAGAGCAGGGUCAAUGGAGGCAUCAUACAGUAUAGGCCAUGAGAGACCCUGAAGAAGAAAGUAUUGAACAGAAACAAAAAUAAAACCAUUUUGACAUUUAUUGAAAUAUAGGAUCAAAGUCUUACAUGUAAAAUUUGGGCAUGUUAUGACUUUUCUCUAGCUCUAAGACUUAUAACAGUGAUGAUUUGAUUUAAUAUCUUUAUCCCGAUUUGUCGAAAAGAUUUGGACAUAGUGCAUCAAUUAUUUUAAAGUUUUGAUACAACGAAUUCAUUCAUGGUACUUGUAACUGAGUUUUCCGGUGCGACACUGUUUUAUCGGCUUCAAAACUAAGUUUGUAAUUUCCGAACCAGAUUAAUGAGACCAUGUAAUAUCUUUUAACAUCGGUGACUAUUUAAUCCAUUCUUUUACAUC